Molecule: small nucleolar RNA, 75 nt
Organism: Mustela putorius furo (domestic ferret)
Lineage: Eukaryota; Metazoa; Chordata; Mammalia; Carnivora; Mustelidae
Source: Ensembl
UGGGUAAAUGAUGAUGAGUGGUGGCGCAAGGGUCCUGGACGAUGAACAUCACAGGUCUGGAACUCUGGGUUCCAA